RNAcentral lists this ribosomal RNA (403 nucleotides) under uncultured bacterium. RNAcentral describes it as "partial 16S ribosomal RNA". It matches the Rfam family "Bacterial small subunit ribosomal RNA", at positions 30 to 526 of the family's 1533-position model. The record is from RNAcentral.
AUUGAACGCUGGCGGCAGGCCUAACACAUGCAAGUCGAGCGAGCGGCGGACGGGUGAGUAAUGGAUGGGGACUGCCCGAUCGAGGGGGAUAACUACUGGAAACGGUGGCUAAUACCGCAUACUAUCGGAUAACCAAUAUGGGAUUAGCUAGUAGGGGGGGUAAAGGCUCACCUAGGCGACGAUGCCUAGCUGGUCUGAGAGGAUGAUCAGCCACACUGGGACGGAGACACGGCCCGGCCUCCUACGGAGGCAGCAGUGGGGAAUAUUGCGCAAUGGGCGGAAGCCUGAUGCGGCCAUGCCGCGUGUAUGAAGAAGGCCUUAGGGUUGUAAAGUACUUUCAGCGUGGAAGCGUUACCCGCAGAAUAAGCACCGGCUAACUCCGUGCCAGCAGCCGCGGUAAUAC